Mastomys coucha (southern multimammate mouse) is the source of this 1369-nucleotide long non-coding RNA. RefSeq lists it as uncharacterized. The record is from RefSeq and is a predicted model, not a curated record. Lineage: Eukaryota; Metazoa; Chordata; Mammalia; Rodentia; Muridae. The transcript has 3 exons.
GGGUCUCAUGAAAUUCCAAAGCUGCUUCACAGCCAAAGAGACAGUUAAACUGAAUGUGGGCCUUCAAUUCCAGCACUUGGGAGGCAGAGACAGGCAAUUCCUUGUGAGUCUGAAACCCACAGACUCUACCAUAGAACUAGACGGGUCACCUGUGGAAUCAUCAGGGGUCCAAGGAUGACUGCGAGCUGGCUUCUCUGAGGUUCUGUCCCAGUAACAGUCAAGUCUUGGAUGGAUCUUCGCCUUGGUUGUCCGUUACCUUAAAACAAAACAACAACAACAAAAGUAAAACUUCAAUCUAGCCAAACAAGCAAGAAGGUGUAACUGCUGCAGAGGAAGUGCAAUCUGCUGCUCCUGGGAUCUAUGCAACUGGCUGCAGGAAAGAGAAUGAGUAAAUUUCAUGUGAAAACCCACCAACCCAAAAACUGAGAAAGAAAGAGACAGAAGAACUCUAAUGCUCAAAAGCUGCUGGCCCACAACAGAGUAUGUCCUAACAGUGAUACUCCUACCGCAUGAAAAGCAGCUCAAGUGUCUUCCACCAUCUUCUGUCAAGUGUUUAAAUAGAUGGCUGCCUGGGGGCUGGGGCUGAUGACGGCAUCUAUUUCAAGGGCCUUACGUUACAGUUUCACAGCAAGACAGCUAGCAGGUUGUAAGACACAUCUGACUUUUGCUGGCAGCAGUGCCUAAGAGGAUGCUAAGGUUUAAAUUAUUGCCCUGAGUCACACUGAAUCCCAUUAGUGUCUGUCAGAAUGCAGCAAUUCAUCAUUAGUAACAGCUCAAUUUUCCCUUGGAGACAAACAAUGUUCAUUCUAUGCUCAAUAUAUAUAUAUAUGUGUGUGUAUAUAUACACAUAUACACACACACACACACACACACACACACACACACACACACACACACACACACACACACAUAUAUAUAGCUUGUUGAGAUGGGCUAUUAUGAACAACUAUAUUAGCAACAGUUUUUAACUCAGUAAGAAGAAAUUCUGUAAGCAGGUCUUCAGCAGAACAGAAUGACCUGAACAACAGCUUCCCGCGGCACCUUUCCUCGGGAGCAGGUUUGUUUAUGCAGUAUCUUUUACAUGAGAGUUCAGCUGUUAAAAAGGAAACACUAUGAGAAACAGCUGGUACAAUAUUCACAACUCCUUUGACCCUGAGAGUGGUACCAUGUAAUUCUGCAACUAGCAGGCAGCACUCAGAACCCACACCCUAGCAGUUGUAUUUGGAUGAGCAAUAAAUCAUUUAUAUUUUUUCACACUUCAUGAUCUUGGAUAUAAAAAAUUGUAUCUUAAACCAAUUAGCCUCAUUUAAUAUCUUAAUUCAUGUGACCUUGUUAUUGCUUUAUAUAUAAACUAAAUGAACUUUAAAUA